Molecule: long non-coding RNA, 18470 nt
Organism: Gorilla gorilla gorilla (western lowland gorilla)
Lineage: Eukaryota; Metazoa; Chordata; Mammalia; Primates; Hominidae
Exons: 4
Source: RefSeq, a predicted model, not a curated record
GGAAGCGGAAGCCGCGCCGAGGCUCGUGUCAGUGGAAGCUGGGGUGUCGGCGGACGGCCGCGGCCGGGUCUAGCGGUGCCUGCGGAAGCAGAAGGAGGAGGAGGGCUGGCGAUGAGAACCAGCAGGAGGAAUCAAGGGCAAGAAGGGACCCAGAGGGGCAGGUGGCUGAGAUGCUGGCGUCCAGGUGACCCGAGGAAUCCUCUGGAGAUACAGGCCCGCGCAUGCGCGUGCUCGAGCGCUGAAGCCCAUUGCCCGCAGGGCGCUGGACUGGCGCCCCGGCCGGCGAGGCUGUCUAGUCCAGGCUCCAGGCCCCGGCUCUGGCCAGGCGCCGCCGCCUCCCGGUGCAGCUGAAAGUCGACGAAGAGGGCGGGGCGAGGGCGGCUUGUGGAGUUCCACACUUUUCCUCUCUUCGGGCCAGUCCGGGGAGAGGGUGGCUAGCUGUGGCGGCGGCCAAUUACGUGGCGGACCUGCGGGGCUAAGCUGGCACGUCACUUCCGACUAGUGGAGUUUUUAGCCUUUUAACAUUCAAGGAUUAGGUAAAAGUCUUGCAGUGAAAAACCCGAGGACCCUUACCGCAAGUGUCCUUUGCUCCCAGCUACUGAUACUGGAUUCCACUCGUGAUUCUCCCUUUCUUAGCGCAUUCAUGAUAUAGACAUCAGUCUCUGAGCUGGAAGAGGACAAAGGCAGCGGUCCUGUGAAUUCUAUGCUCUAGCUUGGGUUAAGGGAUUUGGAAUUGCACUUGUUCCAGAGAGCUCCCUCUUUGCCCACUAGCAGGGCAUUAGCUGGUGCCGAAGACAGUGGCUGCUUGGCGAGCCUGGAUCUCCAAGUGACUUCAAGUGACCCCCUCAGCAACUCCUGAUGAACAGGACUGAAGCCAAUAUUAAAGCAAGUCAACCAAAGGUUCUCUGGUGUAGACAAGACAGCAAAAGGACAGACUACCUUGUGGAACCUAGCAUUGUUCUCCUUCUGCAGCACUAAGUAACAUUUGUGCUCCAUUAAGAUCUUUGCAAACCACACACAAGAAUUGCUGGUCAUCCUGCCAAUAGAUGCUGCUCACAGAACCAAAUUUCCUGUGCUGAAUUGUCACUCAUGGGCUUGAGAGUAGGAGACUGGAGACCAAGGUGACUAGAAUCCAGUUGGGCCUGAUGUCUCCCUGUUGAAAGGGCUCCUUGUGGAAUGAACAGCACAUGGCUCCCGUGGUGGAUCUGAUAGUGGCACAGCACCAAGUGAUGCACGCCUGCCAGGGGCCACAGACACAGAAGAUGCUCCCAGGGUCCCCCGUGUACUCCAGACACACUGCAGGCCACGUCUCCCAGCAGGUUGCCAGUCAUGGGCCCCAUCAUCAUGACUUCUGUCCAAGGUGUGCUCGGAAAUCUCUUCCUUAACUGUGACUUUCUGACAGGUGGAGGAUGUGGUCAGGAGUGGGAAAAGGAUUCGAGACGGGAAGAGGGAGGGGUUCAGGAUGAAGAGAGAUAAUCUGUGCCACAGAUGCUGGCCCUGCAGUUAGCUCCCACCUAGUCCGUGCACACAGAUUCUAAUCCCCUCCCAUUCCUCUACGUGCUGCGGCCAGAGAGGCCUUUCUCAAAGUGGAAGUCUCAUCCUCACUUCUCUGGUUGCAGUGCUGGGCCAUGGGUAACUUACAAGGCUUAGCAGGAACUGUCUGCGCACUCCCCCUUCCUGCCCACUACCUUGUUUCCCUCCAGUUGCGAGAGCAAACAUUGAUUGAGCAUUAACUAUGUGCCAGGCUUGUCCUAAGUCCUUCGCAUGUAUUCACUCAAACAAUCCUCACAACAUUCCUAUCACAUCUCCCAUUUCACAGUGAGGGUUCUAAAGCACGUAGUGGGUGAGGAACUUGUCCAGGGUCACACAACUAAGUGGGGGUGGAGAAACAUCAAAUCUAGGUGGUCCAGGUGGUGGCCAGAACCCAUCAGCACCUCACUACAGCUGCCUCCAGUUUCUCGCUCUAGGAAAUACUCUUCCCUGUCAACUCCUGUUGUCCUCUGGGCUCAGUUGACAUGUCAUCUCCUUGAGGAGGACAUCCUGAGAUGCUCCCCAACUAGGGUGGGCACCCACUUCCACACUCCAAAUGCCUAUUUGACCUGUAUCGCUGCAUCCCCACUGCCUGGCAGAUAGCAGGCCCCUAAUAAAUAUGAUUUGAGCAAAUAAAUAUAGUUCUUCAAAAAAUAGGGAGGACUUCUUGCUUCAGGUAAUGGUAGGCUAGGACAUUUGGACCAACCCUCCUGCAGAAAAUAGCCAUUUAUUUUGAUGCAAUAUAUCUGGCUAUGACUAGAGAUUUCAAAUAUUUGGAGGGCUAUUAUGUGAAGAAUUAAACUUACUCUUUGUGACAUAGAGGUCAGAAAUUGGUCGUUUCCAUAGAGUAUGAGAGACACAGAAUUGUGCUCAUCAUAAGUAUCUUUUUUAAAAAUUAGACUUAAUAAAAUGGGCUGCCUUGGUAGGUGGUGAGUUCUCUGUCACAAAAGAGAUUCAGCCACUUGCUCUGAGAAAGCAUGGAGAAUAUCAACAUUGUAAGGGUCGACCACCUCAUCUCUGAGGCCCCCUCCUCACUUAGGUUGCCAUUGCAGGUGGAACACUGGGCUGAGUGUCAAAGAACCUGGGUUCCACAAGCUGUGCGAUCAUGGCUGGUUGUUUUGGAUCUGAUUCCUAAUAUCUGUUAGUUAAGCUGACCCGUCAAUACUGACCCACUUCACAGAGUUACGAAGGGAUUAAAUUAGGUAUUACAUAUAAAUCUUUGUUUUGUUUGCUUUUUGUUGUUCUUUUUUGUUUUGCUUUUUUCUUUGCAUUAUGAAAUCCCAAGUCAACUUUUUCCAUUCUUUUAUUUUUUUAAAAAUUGACAUCAUCAUUAUAACAACAAAAUAAUUUUUAAAAUGGAAAAAAAAACCUCACCUGCAACCCCACAAUCUAAUACAAUAAUCAUACUUUUUCCCCUUUAUUCUCCUUUAUUGUGACCAAGGAUGACUUUGGGCAUUGCUGUGAGGAACUAUUUCGUUUAACACCCUACUACCUGAACAUGAUGCGUACUCAGCCCUUCACCACCCCCCAAGUAGCUACACAUGAUAUGAUAAUAGUAUUGGUGUGGUUUUAGAGAGUUGGAGAGAAAACUGAAGUUGGAUUUGGGUAAAAGAAAAAAGAGUGGGAAUUAUUUUUUCUCCAUUCUAAAGCCCAUAGAGCAAUGUUAAUUGUUCCCACCCCUCUGCUAUUCUGUCUCCUCAGGUACUGUGUGCAGAAAUGUGAUUGAGAUUCAAGUCAGGGCCUCUCUGCCCUUUUCCCUCCAGAAACAAAACCAAGAUAAUUUAUCCUGAACACGGUGAAAAAAGGAAGGGAGGGAGGAGAAAAAGUCCGGGUCUUACCUGGGAUUCUCUGUCUCCUGCAACAUGAAGGAUUUAGCCUGGGAGGAGGUGGUGAGAACUCUGGGAGAGAAAAAAGAAGGAAAGAAUAGUUUUACCCAUGCUGAAGUUAAUUUAAACCUUCACCUAGAGAAGCAAAAAAAAAACCCCACACGUUUCCAUUUUGUGCCUCCCUUCCUAGAGUUUUAGCCAAAGGUUUAGCUAAGUUAAUUGGUUUUACCAGGGCACUCACUCCUCCUAUCCCGAGUCUGUUUGACUCCCUCCCCAUCAUCGUCCUUACCUCUUUUCAGGCAGGGUGGGGAUAGCAGCAGGAGGAGAUUUUGGGAGCCUGGCAACUCCUGCAAGGACCGCAGGACAGCCCCUCUGUGGGGAUGCGUGGUGCCCCAUCUGCUGCCCUUCUGAAGAAUGCACUGCCUUCACUUUUUACUGUGUUAGAGUCCAUCCAGACUGUUCUAUCCAAAAAAGAGUUUCUUUUUCCCCCACAGGCAAUCAGGAAAUGAUUCCUUUCCCAACUGCUUCUGUCUAGUGCCUGGGAAUCUUCAGUCAAUCCCUCAGUAAGUCAGUGACUAGGGAAAUCCCUCUCUGAGCCUCCCAGUUCAUGUUGCUUAGGGAACCUGAUAUUUUCAUGAAACCUGCCUACACAUGGGCAGCCCAGCAGCAGAACAAAUGGUGGUGACCAAAGUGAACAAAGAAGUAUAGUUGUGCCAGCUUCGUAGUUGCCCAUGUGGACAAGUCAGCAGGAUCAGGACACGAGGAAGAGUAAAUGUGAGACAGUCAGUGUGACUUCUGCAAUAAACAGAUUUUUAAACCCCGAAAUUUUGCAAAAUUUUGGUGAAACCUGAACUUUCUUCGUUGCAUAUACUGGCACUAUCUGUACCAUCAUGCAACUGUCUCACAUUAAAGCUAUUUUUCUUGGGCACUGAUGAGUAAGGUUGGUAUGUUUGAGUUCCUCAGAUCAACAAAAACCCAUUUUCCUAUAAGUCUUACAUUUAGUAUUUAAGGAACUAAAACUUAAAUACAUUUUGUGAAAUGGUUGACACUUCACUGAUAAUGAUUUAUUGCUUGGAUUAAUAAAUUUUCCAAAAGUUGUCUUAUUAUGUAGAAUAUGGUUUGCAACCAGCAGAACCAUUAAUCUAUACUGCAAUGAUAUGCACUAUGUGUAAUUGUUUAAAAGCCUCUACUUAAUGAUGUAAAAUGCUCUAUUUAAUUACACAUUUGGGUAAACUGUAUACUAACAUCUGAUGGCAUUUUUCCACUGUUUGUUGCUUUUUUCAAAUACUUUAUUGUACAAAGCUGUUCUUAAUAUUUUCAAGUUUUUUUUCUUUGAAUUUUGCUAAUGUUUUCCUUGAAUUAUGAGCACUGACAGAAUGUGCUUAGCACUUUUGGCUAUUCACACAGCUUUUGAGCAUGAUUUGCAUCCAAUAUUUAUAUUGCUAGCAAUAAUAAGCCAUCUGUGAGUUUUGUCAAAAGUUAUUGGGGAUUUUUUAAAUUUUAGAAGUGCAGAUUAUUGUUUCUUUGAACUAACUCUUAUGCAGUUGCAAAGGCAUUUCCAGUUGUUAUAGUUUGUGUACAAUAUCAGAUGUUCCAGAUUAUGAUUCAUUAUUAAUAUCAUAGCUUCCUUGUUCCCUCUGAGGUCCAGAAGAUUCAUGUUUACAAUAUUUAGAAACAAUGUUAAAAAGGUAUCCAAAGUUUGUCACUUUAUUAUUAGUUUGUUCUUAAUAUUCUGUUUAAGUUUUUGAAUUCAUAGAUAUCAAAACACUGCACAAUUAUGGUUUCCACAGGAAUAACAACACACCAACAAUAAGAACCAAAAACAGCAAAUAGGCUGCCUACAAGUUUUGACAAUAUUAGGAUAAUGAUAAUGACAGUUUUUCUAAAUCUCACAGUAAAGAAUGCAGCAACCCAGCAACACUGCUACCUGUGGCCUCAGGCUGCAGUGUCAGCUCUUCCCUGGGUCUCCAGCCUGCCAGUCUAACCUGAAAAUUAUGUACUUGCCAGCCCCCACAGUCACGUGAGUGAACUGGCCCAGGCUGGUCACCAGGGUCAGUUUCUCUGUGUGUCAUUAAUUCAAUCUUCAGCAGUGUCUUUGGAGCUGAGAUGUACCUAUCAUCUGCCUUUUGGGUGCUCAGGGUGGAGAACCAGAAAAGUAUAACCUAGUGUGUAUCCUCAAAGAGCUAACAAUAUGGGGUGGUACCUAUAGGUCUGGAAACACUUUACUGACUCUAUGAGGCAUACCAGGAGACGUCAGAGAACAGUCCCUCCUCAAAUACCAAAUGAGAUGCAGAAGAAAUAGUUUGCUCAAGUUCAUGGGCCAGAUAUCCCAGUGGUCAGGGAGUUUCACGAAUGAGAUGGAACUUUGCAUGGAACCCGAGGGAUGUGUAUGAUUUGAGUAGAUGAAGAAAAUGAGACUUUCCAAGCAGCUAGAAGUUAGGGAGCAGCAAGAUGUGUGGUGGGAUUGAGCACAGUCGGUUCAGAGGAUAGACUGCAGUUUAAUAAUUUGUAGUAAAUAUCUCCCAACUGUUUGGCACUAUUGGAGCAAGUUCUUGAAUGCCAAAUGAAGGCAUAAAUCAGUAAGAGGCAUAAUAAAAGCUGAGCAGUGCUUGGCUUUUUAUGAGCUGAUCCUGAUAGGAGCAGCUAUUCAACAAAGUUGCCAGGUCAUUGUUACAUAGUCCCUGCCUUCUAGGGGCUCACUGCCUACUGGGAGAGACAGUCUGAAAGUUGGUGCAGCAUGUAACUGUUGGAUGAGGAGUUUGAGCCUGUGGACUGUGGGACCCCCGAGGAGGGUGUGACUACUCUAGGCAGAACAGUCCCACAGUUUAUUUAUAUUUAACCUUGAAAUUCAUUAGAGGAUUUUUCAGCAGAGGUUUGGUACUUGUUAAUGUUAAGCUUUGCAUUCUCUAGAACCUCAAGGAAAGCUGUACCGUGCAUAAUGUACCCUCUUAUGUUAAUGUUGUGUACUGUGAUCCUGUUUCAGGGACUUGCACUUAGGAAUCUGUUACAGUGAGCACAGAAGCAGACCUGUGGGCUCAUAGUCUUCACCCCCCACCCAUAUAUACAAGAUGAACAGAGUGGAGGUUAAACAACUUGACUAAACAACACAGUUCAUGGUAAAGCCCAAGACUGUACCUGCCCGUCCAGUGCCUUUUCCAUGUAUCCUGGAACUGAGCAUAGACCUCUUCCCAGGCAGAGCUGACAGCAAGUAAAGGAGAUCAUAAUCAGGGGACCAAACAACUUUGUCUAAAGUGUGAAUGUCACCUAAGGAGAAGCUGUGAGAUCAGAAGGGUGGGGCAGAGGAGCAGACACCAUGAGGGAGAGUCCUUGGGGGUGUGUCUGCCAGACUGACACUAUCUGGCCUGGGCAGUGGAGGGGCUAGCAGGAACCACAGGUACUGGUGAUGUGGCUACUACCGUUACAACUGCCUGUGCUUGGACAUGGACCCUCUGCAAUAUGCAGCAGUCUCAUUCAUUGCCCCCUACAUUCUACACCAAGUAGAAAUGGAAGGCAAUUGGAUACUUCACAGACAAGAUCUAAGUGGAGAAGGAAUGCGUCCUGUGGCUGCAGAGAUCCUUGGAGCUUGGAGGGGAGAGCUUGAGCCCCACUGGUGAUGACCUCCCACAGCUCGCCAACUCAGCCCUCCCUAAGUCCCCAUCGGGGGCCAAUUCUCUCUCCGGGGUUGGGGGGACUCCCCCAUAGCUCAUCCAUCAUAGGGAUGUUGGUAUCUACUGUGGGUUGGGUAGGGCCGAUGUGCUGAGGAUGGCUCCCCCACAAGCAAGAGAUGUGGAUUUGGGGAGCUUCCCAUCUUGUGUUGAAGGAACAUAACUCAGAAUAAUAAGAGCCAACUAUAACAAACCCACAGCCAACAUCAUACUGAAUGGGCAAAAGCUGCAGGCAUUCCCCUUGAAAAGUGGCACAGGAUAAGGAAGCCCUUUCUCACCACUCCUAUUCAAUAUAGUGUUGAAAGUCCUGAUCACAGCAGUCAGGCAACAGAAAUAAUAAAGGGCAUCCAGAUAGGAAGAGAGAAAGUCAAACUAUCCUUGUUUGCAGACAGUAUGAUUCUAUAUCUAGAAAACCCCAUAGCCUCAGCCCAAAAUGUCCUUCAUCUGAUAAUUUCAGCAAAGUUUCAGGAGACAAAAUCAAUGUACAAAAAUCACUAACAUUCCUAUACACAAUCGCCAAGCCAAGAGCCAAAUCAGGAGCACAAUCCCAUUCAUAAUUGCCACCAAAAAGAAUAAAAUACCUAGGAAUGCAGCUAACCAAUGAAGUAAAGGAUCUCUACAAUGAGAAUCACAAAGGCUGCUCAAAGAAAUCAGAGAUGACACAAACGGAAAAACUUUCCAUGCUCAUGGCUAGGAAGAAUCAAUAUCAUUAAAGUGGCCAUACUACCCAAAGCAAUUUAUAGAUUCAAUGCUAUUCCUAUCAAACUAUCAAUUACAUUUUUCACAGAACUAGAAAAAACUUAAAAUUCAUAUGGAACCAAAAAGCCUGAGUAGUCAAGGCAAUCCUAAACAAAAAGAACAAAGGUGGAGGCAUCACAUUACCUAACUUCAAACUACAGGGCUACCAUGACCAAAACAGCAUGGUACUGGUACAAAAGCAGACACACAGACCAGUGGGACAGAAUAGAGAGCCCAAAAAUAAGGCCACAAACCUACAGCCAUCUGAUCUUCAACAAAGUUGACAAAAACAAGCAAUGGGGAAAGGUCUCCCUAUUCAAUAAAUGGUGCUGGGAUAACUGGCUGGCCAUAUGCAGAAGAUCGUAACUGGACCCCUUUUACUAUGUACAAAAAUUAAGAUGGUUUAAAGGGUUAAAACCCAAAAUUAUAAAAAUCCUGAAGAUAACUUAGGCAAUACCAUUCUGGACAUAGGAACUGGCAAAGAUUUCAUGAUGAAGACACCAAAAGCAAUUGUAACAAAAGCAAAAAUGGACAAAUCGGAUUUAAGAGCUUCUUCACAGCAAAAGAAACAACAGGGCAGACAAUCUACAGAAUGACAAAAAAUUUUUGCAAACUAUGCAUCUGACAAGGGGCUAAUAUCUAGCAUCUAUAAGGAAUUUAAACACAGUUACAGGAAAAAAAAAUCCACUCCAUUAAAAAAUGGGCAAAGGACAUGAACAGACACUUUUCAAAAAAGACAUACAUACAGCCAACUAGCAUGUUAAAGAAAACCUCAAUUAUCACUGAUCAUUAGAGAAAUGCAAAAUCAAAACCACGAUGAGAUAUCAUCUGCCAGUCAGGAUGGCUACAAAAAAGUAAAAAAAUAAUAGAUGUUGGUGAGGUUAUGGAGAAAAGGAACACUUAUACACUUGUUGGGAGUGUAAAUUAGUUCAAUCACUGUGGACAGCAGUGUGGCGAUUCCUCAGAGAGCUAAAAACAGAACUACCAUUUGACCCACCAAUCCCAUUACUGGGUAUUUACCUAAAGGAAUAUAAAUCAUUCCACCAUAAAGACACAUGCAAGUGUAUGUUCAUUGCAGCACUAUUAAGAGUAACAAAGCCGGGCACAGUGGCUCACCUCACGACUGUAAUCCCAGCACUUUGGGAGGCUGAGGUAGGCAGAUCACCUGAGGUCAGCAGUUUGAGACCAGCCUGACCAACAUGGAGAAACCCCAUCUCUACUGAAAAUACAAAAUUAGCCAGGUGUGGUGGCUCAUGCCUGUAAUCCCAGCUACUUGGGAGGCCAAGGCAGGAGAAUUGCUUGAACCCAGGAGGCAGAGGUUGCGGUGAGCCGAGAUCACACCAUUGCAUUCCAGCCUGGUGAAGGAGCAAGACUCCAUCUCAAAAAAAAAAAAAAAAAAAAAGGAAAAAUACACAUUCAGAGGAGACAAAAAAUAAAAAAUGAUGCAUGCCUACAGGAUCUAGAAAAUAACUUCUUAAGGGCAAAUCUAGGAGUUACUGGCCUUAAAGAAGAGAUAGAGAAAGAGAUAGGAAUAGAAAGUUUGUUGAAAGGGAUAAUAAUAUAGAACUUCCUAAACCUACAGAAAGAUAUUUAUAUCCAAGUACAAGAAGGUUAUAGAACACCAGGCCAAUUUAACCCAAAGAUUACCUCAAGGCAUUUAAUAAUCAAACUCCCACAGGACAAGGGUAGAGAAAGGAUCCUAAAAGCAGCAAGAGAAAAGAAACAGAUAACAUACAAUGGAGCUCCAGUACAUCUGGCAGUAUAUUUUUCAGUGGAAACCUUACAAGCCAGGAGAGAGUGACAUGACAUAUGUUAAAGUGCUGAAGGGAAAAAACCUUUUACCCUAGAAUAGUAUAUCCAGCAAAAAUAUCCUUCAAACAUGAAGAAUAAACAAAGACUUCCCCAGACAAACAAAAGCUGAGGGAUUUCAUCAACACUAGACUGGUCCCAUAAGAAACGCUUAAGGGAGUACUUUGGUCAGAAAGAAACAGACAUUAAUGAGCAACAAGGAAUCAUCUAAAGGUACAAAACUCACUGUUAAGAGUAAGUACACAGAAAAACCCAAAGUAUGAUAACAUUGUAACUGUGGUGUGUAACUAGAAAGAAUACAUGAUAAACCAAUCAAAAAUAGUAACUACAACAACUUUUCAAGACACAGUCAGAAAAAUAAGAUAAAAUUAGAAACAACAAAAAGUUAAAAAGUGGGGGGAUGAAGUUAAGAUGUAGAGUUUUUAUUAGUUUUCUUUUUGUUUGUUAAUGCAAACAGUGUUACCAGGUUAAAAUAAUGGGUUACAAAAUAGUAUUUGUAAUCCUUAUGGUAACCUCAAACCUAAAAACAUACACUGGAUACAUAAAAAAUAAAAAGCAAAAACCUAAAUCAUAUCACCAGAGAAAACUACCUUCCCUAAAGGAAGACAGGAAGAAAAGAAAGAAGAAGACCACAAAACAACCAGAAAACAAAUAAAUAACAAGGCAGGAGUAAGUCUUUACUUAUCAAUAAUACAUUGAAUGGAAAUGGACUAAACUCUCCAAUCAAAAGACAUACACUGGCUGAAUGAAUGGAGAAAACAAGACCCAUUGAUCUGUUGCCUACAAGAAACACACUUAAACUAUAAAGACACACAUAGACUGAAAGUAAAGAGUUGGAAAGAGUUAUUCCAUGCCAAUGGAAACCAGAAAAAAGAGGAGUAUUGAUUUUGAUACAAAAACUAUAAGAAGAGACAAAUAAAGUCACUAUACAAUGAUAAAGGGGUUAAUAUGGUUUCCAUUUGUGCCCCACCCAAAUUUCAUGUUCUAUUGUAAUCCUCAAUGUUGGAGGUGGGGCCUGGUCGGACGUGAUUGGAUCAUGGGGGUGGAUCUUUCAUGAAUAAUUCAGCACCAUCUUCUUAGUGCUGUUCUCAUGAUAGUGAGUUCUUCUGAAAUCUGGUUGCUUAAAAGUGUGUAGCACCUCUCCACACCACCCGCUUGCCUUGGUCUACUCCUGCUAUGUAGAUGCUUGCUCCCACUUGCAUUAUUCCAUGAGUAAAAGCUCCCUCAGGCCUUCCCAGAAUCAGAUGCUGCUAUGCUUCCUGAACAGCCUGUGGAACUAUGAGCCAAUUCAACCUCUUUUCUUCAUAAAUUAACAAGUCUUGGGUAUUUUUUUAUAGCAGUGUGAGAACAGAAUAAUGCAGAAAAUUGGUAAAGAGGAGUGAGGCAUUGCUAGAAAGAUACCUGAAAAUGUGGAAACGGCAGUGGAACUGGGACACAGACAGAGGUUGGAAGAGUAUGGAGGGCUCCGAAGAUAGGAAGAUGAGGGGAAGUUUGGAAUUUCUUAGAGAUUUGUUAAAUUGUUUUGACCAAAAUACUGAUAGUGGUAUGGACAAUGAAGUCCAGGCUGAGGAGGUCUCAGAUGGAGAUGAGGGACUUAUUGGGACCUGGAGUGAAGGUCACUUUUGUUAGGACAUUGUGGUUGGAGACAUUGUGCCCCUGCCCUAGGAAUCUGUGGAACUUUGAACUUGAGAGCGAAGAUUUAGGGUAUCUGGCAGAAGAAAUUUCUAAGCAGCAAAGCGUUCAAGACAUGGCCUGGCUGCUUCUGGUAGUCUGUGCUCAUAUUUGUGAGCAAAGACAUGACAAGAAACUGGAACUUCUAUUUAAAAAGGAAGCAGAGUGUAAAAGUUUGGAGAAUUUGCAGCCUGGCCAUGUUGUAGAAAAGAAAAAAAAAACAUUUUCUGGAGAGGAAUUCAAGCUAGCUGCAGAAAAUUGCAAGUAACAAGGAGCAAAAUGUUGAUAGCCAAGAUAGUGGGAAAAACACCUUGAAGGUAUUUCAGAUACCUUGGGGGCAGCCUCUCCCAUCACAGGCCCAAAGGCCUAGGAGGGAAGGAUGGUUUCCUGGGCCAGGCUCAGGGUCCUGCUGCCCUGCACAGCCUCAGGAAACUGCUCUCCAAAUCCCAGCUGCUCCAGCUCCAGCUUCAGCUCAAAGGGCCCCAGGUAUAGCUCAGGCUGCUGCUCCAAAGGAUGCAAGUUGUAAGCCUUAGUGGCUCCCGUGUGGUGUUAAAUUAAGCCUGUAGGGGCACAGAGUGCAAGAAUUGAGGCUUGGGAGCCUCCAACUAGAUUUCAGAGUAUGUGUGGGAAAGCCUGGAUGUCCAGGCAGAGGCCAGCUGCAGGGACAGAGCCCUCAUGGAGAACCUCUACUAGGGUAGUGUGGAGGGGAAAUUUGGGGUUGGAGUUCCCACACAGCUUCCCCUCUGGUGUACUGCCUAGUAGAGCUGUGAGAAGACAGCCACUGUCCUCCAGAUUCCAGGAUGGUAGAUCUGCCAAUGACAGCUUGCACUGUACACCUGGAAAAGCCACAGGCAGUCAAUGCCAGCCCGUGAAAGCAGUGACAGUGGCUUACCCUGCAAAGUCCCAGGGGCUGAGCUGCCCAAGGCCUUGGGAGCCCACCCCUUGCACCAAUGUGCCCUGGAUGUGAGAUAUGGGGUCAAAGGAGACUAUUUUGGAACUUUAAGAUUUAAUGACUACCUGCUGGGUUUCAGACUUGCAUGGGUCCAGUAGCCCCUUUCUUUUGGCCAAUUUCUCACUUUUGGAAUGGGAGUGUUUACCCAAUUCCUGUACCCCCACUGUAUGUUGGAAGUAACUAACCGUUUUUUUAUUUUGUAAGCUCACAGGUGGGAGAGACUUGCCUUGUCUCAGGCGAGACUCUGGACUUUGGACUUUUGAAUUAAUGCUGGAAUGAGUUAAGACUUUGAGGGACUGUUGGGAAGAUAUAACUGUAUUUUGCAGUAUGAGAAGGACAUGAGAUUUGGGAGACACCAGAGGUGGAAUAAUAUGAUUUGGAUCUGCAUCCCCACCAAAAUCUCAUGUUCAAUUGUAAUCCUAAAUUUUGGAGGUUGAGCCUGGUGGAAGAGGAUUGGAUAAUGGAGGUGGUUUCUCAUGGUUUAACACCAUCCCCCUGGGUGCUGUUCUCAUGACAGUGAGUGAGUUAUUGUGAGAUCUGAUUGUUUAAAAGUGUGUGCCACCUCCUCCCACUUUCCUCCUGCUCCAGCCAUGUAAGACAGGCUUGCCUCCCCUUCACCUUCUGUCAUGAUUGUAAGUGUUCUGAGGCCUCCCCAGCCAUGCUUCCUGUACAGCCUGCAGAACUGUGAGCCAAUUAAACCUCUUUUCUCUAUAUAUUACCCAGUCUCAGGUAUUUCUUUAUAGCAGUGCAAGAAUAGACUAAUACAGGGUUCAGUUCAGCAAGAGGAUAUAACAAAUAUAAAUAUAUAUGCACUCAACACUGCAGCACCCAGAUAUACAAAGCAAAUAUGAUUAGAGCUAAAGAGAGAGAGUGACCCCAAUACAAUAAUAGCUGGAGAACUUCAACACCACAUUUUCAGCCCUGGACAGAUCUUCCAGACAGAAAAUAAAAAAGAAACAUCAGACUUAAUCUGCACUGUAGAUCAAAUGGAUCUAAUACAUACUUGCAGAACAUUUUAUCCAAUGGCUGCAGAAUACACAUUGUUUUUUAGCACAUGUAUCAUUCUCAAGGAUAGACCAUAUGUUAGGUCACAAAUCUUAAAACAUUAAAAAAGUUGAAUACCAUCAAGCAUCUUCUCUGACCACAGUGGAAUACAACUAGAAACUAAUAACAAGAGGAAUUUUUGAAACUAUACAAAUACAUGAAAAUUAAACAAUAUGCUCCUGAAUGACCAUUGAGUCAAUGAAGAAAUUAAGAAGGAAAUUGAACAAUUUCUUGAAACAAAUGAUAAAGGAAACACAACAUACCAAAACCUAUGGGAUACGGCAAAAGCAGUCCUAAGAGGCAAAUUUAUAGCUGUAAGUGCUUACAUGAAAAAAGAGGAAAAACUUCAAAUAAGCAAUUUAACAAUGAACCUUAAAGAACCAGAAAAGCAAGAGCAAAACAAAAAAUUAGAAGAAAACAAAUAAUAAAAAUCAGAGCAUAAAUAAAAUUGAAAUAAAAAUCAAUGCAAAAGAACAAUGAAACAAAAAGUUGCUUUUUUUCAAAAGUUAAACAAAACUGACAAGCCUUUAGCAAGACUGAGAAAAAAGAGACAAGAUACAAAUAAAUAAAAUCAGAAAUGAAAAAGACAUUACAACUGACACUGCAGAAAUUCAAAGGAUCAUUAGGGGCUACUAUGAGCAACUCUAUGCCAAUAAAUUAGAAAAUCUAGAAGAAAUUGACAAUUCCUAGACACAUACAACCUACUGAGACUGAACCAGGAAGAAAUCCAAAACCUGAACAGACUAAUAACAAGUAACAAGGUUGAAGCCAUAAUAAAAAGUCUCCCACUAAAGAAAACCAAGGACCCGAUGGCUUCACUGUUGAAUUCUACCAAACAUUUAAAGAAGAACUAAUACCAAUCCCACUCAAGCUAUUGAAAAAUAGAGUAGGAGAGAAUAUUUCCAAAGUCAUUCUAGGAGACUAGUAUCACCCUGAUACCAAAACCAGACAAAGACACAUCAAAAAAAGAAAACUGCUGGCCAAUUUCUCGGAUGAAUAUUGAUGCCAGAAUCCUCAGCAAAAUAUUAGCAAACUAAAUUCAACAAUACAUUAAAAAGAUCAUUCAUCAGGGUCGGGUGCAGUGGCUUAAGCCUCUAAUCCCAGCACUUUGGGAGGCCGAGGUGGGCAGAUCACCUGAGGUCAGGAGUUCAAGACCAGCCUGACCAACAUGGUGAAACCUUGUCUCUACUGAAAAUACAAAAUUAGCCGAGUGUGGUGGUGCAUGCCUGUAAUCCCACCUACUCAGGAGACUGAGGCAGGAGAAUCGCUUGAACCCAGGAGGUGGAGGUUGCAGUGAGCUGAGAUUGUGGCACUGCACUCCAGCCUUGGUGACAGAGUGAGACUCCAUUAAAAAAAAAUCAUUCAUCAUGACCAAGUGGGAUUUAUCCCUGGAAUGCAAGGAUGGUUCAACACAUGCAAAUCAAUCAAUGUAAUACAUCAUAUCAAAAAGAAUGAUUAAAACCAUAUGAUUAUUUCUAUUGAUGCUGAAAAAGUAUUUUAUAAAAUCCAACAUCCCUUCAUGAUAAAAACCCUCAAAAAACUGUAUAAAAGAAAUAUACCUCAACGUAAUAGCCAGAUAUGACAGACCCACAGCUAGUAUCAUACUGAAUGGGGAAAAAGUGAAAGCCUUUCCUAUAAGAUCUGGAACACAACAGGGAUGUUCACUGUCACCACUGUUACUCAACAAAGUACUGGAUGUUCUAGCUAGAGCGAUCAGACAAGAGAAGAUAUAAAGGCCAUCCAAACUGGAAAGGGAGAAGUUAAAUUACCCUAGUUUGCAGAUGAUAUGAACUUAUAUUUGGAAAAAACCUAAAGGCUCCACAGGAAAACUAUUAGAAUCAAUAAAUUCAGUAAAGUUGCAGGACACAAAAUCAACAUAUAAAAACCAGUAGCAUUUCUACAUGCCAACAGUGAACAAUUUGAAAAAUUUUAAAUUUAAGAAGGUAAUUUCAUUUACAAUAGCCACACAUAAAAUUAAAUACCUAGGAAUUAACCAAAAAUGUGCAAGAUAUCUAUGAGGAGAAUUAUAAAACAUUGAUGAAAGAAAUUGAAGAGGACACACACAAAAAAAGGAAAAAAUUCCAUCUUUAUGGAUUGGAAGAAUCAAUAUUGUUAAAAUGUCCAUACUACCCAAAGCAAUCUACAGAUUCAAUGCAAUCCCUAUCAAAAUACCAAUAAUAGUCUUCAGAGAAAUAGAAAAAAAAAUCCCAAAAUUUAUAUGAAAACACAGAAUGCCCAGAAUAGCCAAAAUUAUCUUAAGCAAAAAGAUCAAAACUGGAGGAAUCACAUUACCUGACUUCAAAUUAUGCUACAGAGCUAUAAUCACCAAAACAGCAUGGUACUGACAUAAAAACAGACACAUAGUCCAACAGAACAGAAUAGAGAACCUAGAAACAAAUCCACGCACUCACAGGGAACUCAUUUUUGACAGAGUUGCCAAGUACUUAUACUGGAGAAAAGAAAAGACAGUCUCUUCAAUGAAAUGGUGCUGGGAAAACUGGAUAUCCGUAUGUAGAAGAAUGAAACUAGACCCCUACCUCUCACUGUAGACAAAAGUCAAAUCAAGGCUAGCCAUGGUGGCUUACACCUGUAAUCUCAGCACUUUGGGAGGCUGAGGCAGGCGCAUCACGAGGUGAAGAGAUCGAGACCAUCCUGACCAACAUGGUGAAACUCACCCCCCCCCCCCCGCCCACUAAAAAUACAAAAAGGAAUUAGCUGGGCAUGAUGGCAUGUGCCUGCAGUCCUAGCUACUCAGGAGGCUGGGGCAGGAGAAUCGCUUGAACCCAGGAGGUGGAGGUUGCAGUGAGCUGAGAUUGUGCCACUGCACUCCAGCCUGGCGACAGAGCAAGACUCCAUCUCAAAAAAUAAAAAAUAAAAAAUCAAUUCAAAAUGUAAUAAAGACUUAAAUCUAAGACCUCAAACUAUGAAACUACUAUAAGAAAACAUUGGGGAAAAUCUCCAGGACAGUAGUCUGGCCAAAAAUUUCUUGAGCAAUACCCCACAAGCACAGGCAACCAAAAUAAAACUGGACAAAUAGUAUCACAUCAAGUUUAAAAGCUUCUACAAAGCAAAGGAUACAAUCAAUAAAGAGACAACCCACAGAAUGGGAGAAAAUAUUUGCAAACUACCCAUCUGACAAAGAAAUAAUAACCAGAGUAUAUAAGAAGCUCAAACAACUCUAUAGUAAAAAAAAAAAAAAAAAAAAAAAAAAAAUCUAAAAGUCUAAGUAAAAAAUGGGCAAAAGAUUUUAAUAGACAUUUCUCAAAAGAAGACAUACAGGCCAUGCGUGGUGGCUCAUGCCUGUAAUCCCAGCACUUUGGGAGGCCCAGGCGGGUGGAUCACUUGAGGUCAGGAGUUCGAGACCAGCCUGACCAACAUUGUGAAACUCCGUCUCUACUAAAAAUACAAAAAUAAGCCAGGCAUGGUGGCGCACAUCUGUAAUCCCAGCUACUCAGGAGGCUGAGGCAGGAGAAUCGCUUGAACCUGGGAGACAGAGGUUGCAGUAAGCCGAGAUCACACCACUGCACUCCAGCCUGGGCAACAAAGUGAGACUCCGUCUCAAAAAAAUAAAAAUAAAAAUAAAAAAAUAAAAAAAAGAAAAAAAGAAAAGAAAAAGGAAGAAGACAUAUAAAGCCAGGUACAGUGGCUUAUGCCUCUAAUCCUAGCAUUUUAGGAGGCCAAGGCAGACGGAAUUGAGCCCAGAAGUUUGAGACCAGACUGAGCAAUAUGGUCAAACCCCAAUUCUGCAAAAUACAAAAAUAAAAAAUAGCUGGGAGUGGUGGUGCACACCUGUAGUCCCAGCUACUUAGGAAGCUGAGAUGGGAGGAUCACUUGAGCCUGCAGUGAAUCAUAAUUGCACCAAUGCAUUCCAGCCUGGGCGACAGAGUGAGAGACACUGUCUCAAAAAAAAGAAAGAAAAAGAAAAAAAAGGACAUAAAAAUGACAGGCAUAUGAAAAGUUGCUGAUGAUUAUUGAUCAUCAGAGAAAUGCAAAUCAAAACUGCAAUGAGAUGUAAUCUCACCCCAGUUAAAAUGGCUUAUAUCCAAAAGACAGGCAAUAACAAAUGCUGGUGAGGAUGUGGAAAAAAGGGAACCCUCGUACACUGUUGAUGGGAAUGUAAAUUAGUACAACCACUAUGGAUAACAGUUUAGAGGUUCCUCAGAAAACUAAAAAUUGAGUUGCGAUAUGAUGCAACAAUCCUACUGCUGGGUGUAUACCCCACAAAAGAGAAAACCAGCGUUUUGCAUGGUGGCUCACACCCGUAAUCCCAGCACUAUGGGAGGCCGAGGAGGGCAGAUCACUUGAGCCCAGAAGUUCAAGACCAGCCCGAGCAACAUGGCAAAACCUGAUUUCUACAAAAUACAAAAAAAAAUUAGGCAGUUGUAGUGGUUCACACCUAUAGUCCUAGCUACUGUGGAGGCUGAGGUAGGAUCGCUUGAACCCAGGAGGCGGAGGUUGCAGUGAGCCAAGAUCAUGCCACUGCACUCCAGCCUGGGUGACAAAGUGUGACCCUGUCUCAAAAAAGAAAAGAAAAUCGGUAUAUGGAAGAGAUAUCUGCACUCCUAUGUUUUUUACAACACUGUUUACAAUAGCUAAGAUUUGGAAGCAACCUAAAUGUCCAACAACAGAUGAAUGGAUAAGGAAAAUUUGGUAUGUAUACACAAUGAAGUACUAUUCAGCCAUAAAAAGGAAUGAGAUCCAGUCAUUUGCAACAGCAUGGAUGGAAGUGGAGAUCAUUAUGUUAAAUGAAAUAAGCCAGGCACAGAAAGGCAAACAUGGCAUGUUCUCACUUAUUUGUGGGACCUAAAUUCAGAACAAUUGAACUAAUGGACAUAAAGAGUAGAAAAAUGGUUACCAGAGGCUAGGAAUGGUAGUGGGGGUAGUGGACGUUGAAGGGAAGGUGGGGAUGUUUAAUCGGUAAAAAAAAAUUUUAGAAGAAUAAGACCUACUAUUUGAUAGCACAACAGGGGGACUAUAGUCAAUAAUAAUUGCACAUUUAAAAAUAGUGUAAUUGAAUUGUUUGUAACUCAAAGGAUAAAUGCAUGAGGGAAUGGAUACCCCAUUCUCCAUGAUGUGCUUAUUUCACAUUGCAUACCUGUAUCAAAACAUCUCAUGUACCCCAUAAAUAUAUGCAGCUAUUAUGUACCCACAAAAAUUGAAAAUCAAAACUAAAAUAUUUUUUUAAAUGUAUUAUUAUUUGUCCUCUGUGAAUAAAACUCGCUUCUGGCCCUCCUU